GCUGGUGUAGCUCAGCCGGUAGAGCAACGGUUUCGUAAACCGUAGGUCGUCGGUUCGAUUCCGACCACCAGCU
Molecule: transfer RNA, 73 nt
Filed under: Candidatus Omnitrophota bacterium
Lineage: Bacteria; Pseudomonadati; Candidatus Omnitrophota
Description: Candidatus Omnitrophica bacterium (sediment metagenome) tRNA-Thr
Rfam family: tRNA
About the family: Transfer RNA (tRNA) molecules are approximately 80 nucleotides in length.
Source: RNAcentral